AUAUAGUGGUUUAAAAUGACUGUUGUAAUUAUAAAUCCAUUGGUUCUCUUCUCUGACCUCUGAUCUGAUAUGACUUCCUGUCCUUGUUUGACCUCCACAGGACAUAUUUUCUGAAUUGGAUCUGGAAGGAGAUGCAGAGAGCGAGCUACGGCAGACACAGCCAAGGGGAAGAAGAGAAAGGCCCAAGAGGAGCUGGGGACGGCCCAGCUGGAGGAGGAAGACGCGGGGACAUCAAAGGAAGCUGGGGAAGAGGGGGAUAGCGACUCGGAUGAUGUUGACAACAGCAGCGACUCUGAUGACGAGAGGAGCUUCGCUCAGAUGUAGAAGGCUAAAGCGUCCGGCGGUAUUCAAGGUGAUGCCAACGGUGAUGACUUCCAGGUGGUGCCAGUGCAGAGCACCAGCAAGCGUGUUUGCGUCAUGAAUUCAGAUGGUAUGGCCCUGGGCUGUCAGAUCGCCACGUCCAAGAAGCGAGAGAGGGACCUGGUAGAUGGCUCCUUUC
Long non-coding RNA from Oncorhynchus keta (chum salmon), 499 nucleotides. RefSeq lists it as uncharacterized. The transcript has 4 exons. The record is from RefSeq and is a predicted model, not a curated record. NCBI's taxonomy places the organism in Eukaryota, Metazoa, Chordata, Actinopteri, Salmoniformes, Salmonidae.